CUUUCACCCACUUUACAGCUUACAAGCAUGCGACAUCCAACCCUAGAUUCCCUUUCACUCCACUCCACCCUCUUUAUUCUUACCCUCCCAUUGGCUUUGAUCUACAUCUCUAAGCUCCAUCCAUGGCGGGGCCUUCGACAUCGAGUAGCUCGCCAUUCGGAUACUGAAAACCCUCACCAAGCUCCUUUUCGUCGACCUCAUUCUCCUCAUCUUCGUCUUCUUUCAUGAAUGGUAGGCUCAUGCCCUGCUCUUCACCCUCCUCCAUUUCCUCGUAUUUUGGUGGUAUGCCGCGAUCUGCUACCCCGAGCCAUAGGUGAAGCCGCACUCCUACUGGCUUUGCUUUUGCGGAUGAGCUGGUUGAGGAGUUGAAUGAGGCUGUGAGAUCUGGGGAGGGGGAUACUAUCUCUGUUACUGUGAGGUUUCGGCCAUUGAGUGAAAGGGAGUUUGAGCGAGGGGAUAAGAUCACGUGCUAUGCUGAUGGUGAUAAGGUGGUGUGCAACCAGUAUAAUCCUGCCACAGCUUAUGCUUCUGCUGCCUUUGCCGGAGCUUCAUCUGAUCUUCAGGUCAAAUCAGCCAGAGUGAACCUCGUCAUCAUCCUCAACCUCCAUUGGAUCUUCAGAUCAGCCGUCGGAUUUGGAGCAUCGGUGAAAUGGGGGAUCGAUGCAGAUUCGAUCGGUGAAGCUGGAAGGAAGAGGAGCAUCGAUGACGAUCGGUAGUGAAAUCAAUCGUCAUUCUGGUUGAAAGAGCUCGUCGGAGGAGGAAAAGAAUCGAAAACUGGGACACCAUCGAAGGUGAACUCUUUAGCUUGUUCUUCUUAGGGUUUGAAUAUGUUUUCCCUCUCUCUGUGGCCAUUGCAGGAGGUUGGAGGAGGAAGGAAAGCAUCAGCAUGAAUUGGCGGAUCGGGGUGGUACAAUUGGAGGUGAACUCAUUGGCCUCUUUUUUUUUUUGUUUUUUUCUUAAGAGAAGAGAAUUCAAAGUAGUUUGUUCGUUUUAGAGUUUGAAUAUGUUUUUUUCUUGUGUAUUUCUGAUGGGAAUGGAAGAGCCCUCAUUCUCUUCUGAUUUAGAGGAUAUAUCAACUUCAACGAGGCUUGUGGAUUGGGAGUUUUAAGAAGCAGAGACAUGACUGAGCAAACGCAGUUGAAGUACUCAUCAAGGAUCUCAAAGUCUUUGCUACCCUUUAAUGAAGAACUUCUCAAGGAGAUUACUCAAUUGCUUACUCUUGAGAACUUCAGACUUAAGCAGACAUAAUGAGCAACUUUCUUUCCAAGUAUGGGGAUACAUAGCCUGCCAAAAAUAUAAUGCUUCUUGAGCUUAAAAAGCUUAUUGAAGCUAAUCCACUGUUUUGUGACAAGCUUGCAUUUCCAGCA
Dioscorea cayenensis subsp. rotundata (Guinea yam) is the source of this 1367-nucleotide long non-coding RNA. RefSeq lists it as uncharacterized. The transcript is spliced from 6 exons. The record is from RefSeq and is a predicted model, not a curated record. Lineage: Eukaryota; Viridiplantae; Streptophyta; Magnoliopsida; Dioscoreales; Dioscoreaceae.